Molecule: long non-coding RNA, 1619 nt
Filed under: Mus musculus (house mouse)
Lineage: Eukaryota; Metazoa; Chordata; Mammalia; Rodentia; Muridae
Description: long non-coding RNA chr16:44564036-44565655
Source: RNAcentral
AACAACAAAAUGAGUCUAGGAGUCACCAGAAGAGACUUGUGCUAAGACUUGUCCUGAGGCUUAAGCUAAGGCUGGAAGCUAGGUGCUAAAGUUCAGUCCUAACAGUAAGUAGGAAGCGGGUAGCGUGGACAUUUGUAUUCUCAACGGUAACAUUUGAAGACAUGCUUUGCCUUGGUAUGAAGUGUUCGAGAUGAACUACUCCUGAAUUCAUCCCGAGUUUAAAAUUCUGGCUGCUGAAUAGUAUUUUAAUCUGUUUAUCUGUUUAUUUCUUUUAUUUGUUAAGGCAUCACCAAAAUACAUUUUUAAAAAGUGCAUAACUCGGGGGCUGGAGAUGUGGCUGCUCUUCCAGAGGACUGGAGUUCCAUUACCCACGUGGCAGCUCCCAGCUGUCUGUAACUCAAGUUCCAGUGGACCGGACCCUCUCACACGGACAUGCAGACAAAGCACCAAUGUACAUAAAAAUUUACAAAUGGGUAACGUAGUCCAUCAUUUUGGAAUUUAAAACCCGGCUUUCAGUUCCUCAUCAGGUGUAUGAAUCAGCUUCCUGUCUACCCUGGGAAGAAUGGCCCCGCUGGACAAGCUAUGUGCUGGUUGUCUGACAAAAUAAAGAAUGAUGAAUGAAUGUGUAAGGUUGACCUAUGCAACAAUUAGCAACCAGUGCACGACAGCAUGUAAUUAGAAGGUAAAUUGCACGGUUCAGGAGAAAUUACAGGUGAGCCUGGCAUGGUGCCGCUCAAUUCUCAUACAAGUGGAACCUACUAGGGCUGACUUCUCUAGCCCUGGGCUGUCGACGCAGGGAUCCAUCCUAUUGCCAUGCGUUCUGUUGACAUUAAGGGACUAACCUUCAGAUUCCCCUACGGCUGCCUAUGAACAAGGGGACCCUAGGGAAGGGUAGCAUGCAGUAAAAUGGAAAUGACAGACUCAAAACAAAUUUAGAUUUUAAUUUCAUCUUCAGCAAUCCUUGUGAGCAAAGACAGAUGCCCUCUUUGAAUGCCCGUAUCUUUUGUGAAGGUUAGAAAUAAUACAUAUGGAGUAUCUCUCCAUAUGUAUACAUAUGUAUUCAUAUACUUAUAAUACAUAUUAGUAUCUGUCAGGCUAUAACUCUAAAUGAGUCAACCAGUAUAGCUGUUUAUGGCUAGUGCCUAUUCUUACUGUUGAGUCCUUACGUUAAUGCCCACUGUAACACUAUAUUUAAUCAAAACCUUUGGUAGCCACUUUACAGAGAGCUGUUGUAUUAUUGGAAAUUUGAGUCUGGGCUAGACAAACGGAAGAAAAGGUGGUGCAUGAAAACCGUUUCUGUAAUCCAUCCUUGCAUGCUUGAUUUUGCGCACAUCUUAAGCCCCACACGAACAAAAUCUCUCUGUUAACCCCAGUCCCACUUUUCCAAGAUAUCGGAUUCUCUGAAGCAAGCACAGCUCCCACUGAGUCCACACGGAAACCCCCACCUUCCCCAAUGGCCUCCAUCUGUUCUCCCCCGCCCCCACCCUGACAUGUGAAGCUGAGAAACUUGGAUCCUGGAGCUGCCCAGACUCCAGCUGUUUGAUAUUGUGUGGCAGCAACAGUAAAGAGGGCAGAGGCGAGAGAUUCCAGAUGAAAGCAAAACUCAAAAGAGAACCGGA